UACGUAGGGGGCUAGCGUUGCUCGGAAUCACUGGGCGUAAAGCGCACGUAGGCGGCUUUUUAAGUCAGAGGUGAAAUCCUGGAGCUCAACUCCAGAACUGCCUUUGAUACUGGAGAGCUUGAGUCCGGGAGAGGUGAGUGGAACUGCGAGUGUAGAGGUGAAAUUCGUAGAUAUUCGCAAGAACACCAGUGGCGAAGGCGGCUCACUGGCCCGGUACUGACGCUGAGGUGCGAAAGCGUGGGGAGCAAACAGG
RNAcentral lists this ribosomal RNA (253 nucleotides) under uncultured bacterium. Its description in RNAcentral is "partial 16S ribosomal RNA". It matches the Rfam family "Bacterial small subunit ribosomal RNA", at positions 524 to 776 of the family's 1533-position model. The record is from RNAcentral.